This 856-nucleotide ribosomal RNA is filed under the name Escherichia coli. Its description in RNAcentral is "partial 23S ribosomal RNA". It matches the Rfam family "Bacterial large subunit ribosomal RNA", at positions 418 to 1273 of the family's 2925-position model. The record is from RNAcentral. Lineage: Bacteria; Pseudomonadati; Pseudomonadota; Gammaproteobacteria; Enterobacterales; Enterobacteriaceae.
CGGGACACGUGGUAUCCUGUCUGAAUAUGGGGGGACCAUCCUCCAAGGCUAAAUACUCCUGACUGACCGAUAGUGAACCAGUACCGUGAGGGAAAGGCGAAAAGAACCCCGGCGAGGGGAGUGAAAAAGAACCUGAAACCGUGUACGUACAAGCAGUGGGAGCACGCUUAGGCGUGUGACUGCGUACCUUUUGUAUAAUGGGUCAGCGACUUAUAUUCUGUAGCAAGGUUAACCGAAUAGGGGAGCCGAAGGGAAACCGAGUCUUAACUGGGCGUUAAGUUGCAGGGUAUAGACCCGAAACCCGGUGAUCUAGCCAUGGGCAGGUUGAAGGUUGGGUAACACUAACUGGAGGACCGAACCGACUAAUGUUGAAAAAUUAGCGGAUGACUUGUGGCUGGGGGUGAAAGGCCAAUCAAACCGGGAGAUAGCUGGUUCUCCCCGAAAGCUAUUUAGGUAGCGCCUCGUGAAUUCAUCUCCGGGGGUAGAGCACUGUUUCGGCAAGGGGGUCAUCCCGACUUACCAACCCGAUGCAAACUGCGAAUACCGGAGAAUGUUAUCACGGGAGACACACGGCGGGUGCUAACGUCCGUCGUGAAGAGGGAAACAACCCAGACCGCCAGCUAAGGUCCCAAAGUCAUGGUUAAGUGGGAAACGAUGUGGGAAGGCCCAGACAGCCAGGAUGUUGGCUUAGAAGCAGCCAUCAUUUAAAGAAAGCGUAAUAGCUCACUGGUCGAGUCGGCCUGCGCGGAAGAUGUAACGGGGCUAAACCAUGCACCGAAGCUGCGGCAGCGACGCUGAUGCGUUGUUGGGUAGGGGAGCGUUCUGUAAGCCUGUGAAGGUGUGCUGUGAGGCAUGC